AUAGAAUUUUACCGCUCCUAUCCAAUCCAUAUGAAGCCUCUAUUUCCACGACAAGACUACCGCACCUCUGGUCUUCCAUCAAGCAUUCUCGCGACCAUCCAAGGAAAAAAUAGCUUGAUAAUAACACAAGUCACGAGGUAUGUCAUUGUCACAUCUUUGUCGGCAUCAUAAAUUUCGGUUUCUUCUCCGCAGGUUUUAAGAUUUGAAAAGAGCACAUCAAAGUCUCAUCAACACUCAUCAUGGCACCAGCAUUA
RNAcentral lists this unclassified non-coding RNA (254 nucleotides) under Hevea brasiliensis (rubber tree). The record is from RNAcentral. Lineage: Eukaryota; Viridiplantae; Streptophyta; Magnoliopsida; Malpighiales; Euphorbiaceae.